AGAGUUUGAUCCUGGCUCAGGAUGAACGCUAGCGGCAGGCCUAACACAUGCAAGUCGAGGGGUAACAGGAGAGCUUGCUCUCGCUGACGACCGGCGCACGGGUGAGUAACGCGUAUGCAACCUACCUUUAACAGGGGGAUAGCCCGAAGAAAUUCGGAUUAAUACCCCAUACAACUAUAGAUAAGCAUUUAUUUAUAUUUAAAACUCCGGUGGUUAAAGAUGGGCAUGCGUGACAUUAGAUAGUUGGUGAGGUAACGGCUCACCAAGUCUACGAUGUCUAGGGGGUCUGAGAGGAUGGUCCCCCACACUGGUACUGAGACACGGACCAGACUCCUACGGGAGGCAGCAGUGAGGAAUAUUGCGCAAUGGAGGAAACUCUGACGCAGCCAUGCCGCGUGCAGGAUGACAGCCCUACGGGUUGUAAACUGCUUUUAUACAGGAAGAAUUUUCCGCACGUGUGCGGGAUUGACGGUACUGUACGAAUAAGCAUCGGCUAACUCCGUGCCAGCAGCCGCGGUAAUACGGAGGAUGCAAGCGUUAUCCGGAUUUAUUGGGUUUAAAGGGUGCGUAGGCGGGGUAAUAAGUCAGUGGUGAAAUCCUGCAGCUUAACUGUAGAAUUGCCAUUGAUACUGUUAUUCUUGAGUUCGAUUGAGGUAGGCGGAAUGCGUAAUGUAGCGGUGAAAUGCUUAGAUAUUACACAGAACACCGAUUGCGUAGGCAGCUUACUAAGUCGACACUGACGCUGAGGCACGAAAGCGUGGGGAGCGAACAGGAUUAGAUACCCUGGUAGUCCACGCUGUAAACUAUGAUCACUAGCUGUUGGCGAUACAUCGAUCAGCGGCAAAGCGAAAGCAUUAAGUGAUCCACCUGGGGAGUACGGUCGCAAGAUUGAAACUCAAAGGAAUUGACGGGGGCCCGCACGAGCGUGGAACAUGUGGUUUAAUUCGAUGAUACGCGAGGAACCUUACCUGGGCUUAAAUGCAGAUUGACGUUUCGGGAAACCGAAAUUCUCUUCGGAGCGAUUUGCAAGGUGCUGCAUGGUUGUCGUCAGCUCGUGCCGUGAGGUGUCGGGUUAAGUCCCAUAACGAGCGCAACCCCUAUCGUUAGUUGCCAGCGGAUCAUGCCGGGGACUCUAACGAAACUGCCGGUGUAAACCGAGAGGAAGGUGGGGAUGACGUCAAAUCAGCACGGCCCUUAUGUCCAGGGCUACACACGUGUUACAAUGGUCGGUACAGAGGGCAGCUACCUGGUGACAGGAUGCUAAUCUCGAAAGCCGGUCUUAGUUCGGAUCGAAGUCUGCAACUCGACUUCGUGAAGCUGGAAUCGCUAGUAAUCGCGUAUCAGCAACGACGCGGUGAAUACGUUCCCGGGCCUUGUACACACCGCCCGUCAAGCCAUGGAAGCUGGGGGUACCUGAAGUCUGUAACCGCAAGGAGCGGCCUAGGGUAAAACUAGUGACUGGGGCUAAGUCGUAACAAGGUA
RNAcentral lists this ribosomal RNA (1482 nucleotides) under metagenome. RNAcentral's name for it is "bacterial SSU rRNA". It matches the Rfam family "Bacterial small subunit ribosomal RNA". The record is from RNAcentral.